AGUGGAUAAAAGAUAGAAACCCUCUUCAUUUCUGGGAAAAAAAGGUAGCCAGUUUAAACUGUAAUGCCCCCCCACCCCUUGAAAUGCACUCCCCUGACUCAGUCCCCCCGCACAACACCCCCCAACAAAAUUCCAGACCACUCUUGAUUAUUUCAUGACAAAUUAAUGAUAUAAAAGAUCUGGAGUUGAUUCCAAGUGUUGAAUUUGCAUUUGGUAGCCAUUCAUGGGAACUGUAUAAUAACUAUAUAAUAUGAAGUCCAGAGGUGUCGAUGCAAGUCAAGGAGGCCAUCAUUAGAAUUAAAAAACCAAAACAGUCAUAUCGGAGAGAUAGCAGAGACUUUAGGAGUGGCCAAAUCAACAAUUUGGUACAUUCUUGAAAAGAAGGAAUGCACAGCAACAUCAAAAGCCCUGGAAGACCAUGGAAAACAACUAAAUUGGAUGAUCACAGAAUUCUUUCCUUGUCGAAGAAAACCCCCUUCACAACAUCUUGUCAAGUCAAGGACACUCUGGAGGAGGUAGGAGUAUCAUUGUCAGAGUCUACAAUCAAGAGACACCUUCAUGAAUGUAAAUACAAGGGGUUUACCUCAAGAUGCGAAACCACUGGUAACACUCAAGAACAGAAAGAGCAGAUUAGACUCUGCUAGAAAACAUUGGAGGGAAAAGCCUGCCCAGUUCUGGAACAAGAUUCUUUGGACAGAUAAAACCAAGAUUAACUUGUACCAGAAUGAUGGGAAAAGACGAGUAUGCAGAAGGAAAGGAAGGGCUCAUUAUCCAAAGCAUACUACAUCAUCUGUCCAAAAUGGUGGAGGUAGUGUUAUGGCAUGGGCAUGUAUGGCUGCCAAUGGAACUGGGUCACUGGUGUUUAUUGAUAAUGUGACUGCUGAUAGAAGUAGCAGGCUGAAUAUUCUGAAGUGUAUAGAGCUAUACUGAUCAGAGUCAGCCAAAUGCUGCAAAAAUGAUAGGACGGUGCUUCACAGUACAGAUGGAUAAUGACCCAAAACAUACAGCGAAAGCAACCCAAGAGCUUCCUAAUGCAAAGAGAUGGAAUGUUCAUAAAUGGGCAAAUCAGUCAUCUGACUUCAACUCAAUUGAGCAUGCUUUUCACUUACUGAAGACAAAACUGAAGGCAGAAAGACCCACAAAUAUGCAGCAACAGAAGGCAGCUGCAGUAAAGGCCUGGCAAAGCAACUCAAGGGGGGAAACUCAGCAUUUAAUGAUGUCCAUGGUUUCUAGAUUUGAGACAGUCAUUCAUUGCAAAGGAUUUGCAUCCAAGCAUUAAAAAUGAUCUUGAUUUUAUAAUCAAGUAAUAGUUUGAUUAUAAUAUAUAGUUUGUCCAGUUACUUUGAGCUUGUGAAAAUGGAGGGACUCUGUAAAAAAAAAGAUAGUUGUCAUUCCUAAAAGGUUAAUGCAAUAUUUUUGUUAAAGCCCUUGAAUUAAAGUUGAAAGUCUGCACUUCAAUCACAUCUUGAUUGCUUCAUUUCAAGUCCAUAUUGAUGGUGUAGAGAGGCAAAAUUACAAAAAUUGUGUCACUGUCCAAAUAUGUAUGGAGCCGACUAUAUAUCUCCACAUAGACAGUAACCUGAGCUCAGGAUCGAACCAAGGACCUGUUGCUACAGCACCAUGCUGUCCAUUUUGUUAUGAUUUUAAUUUGAAAAGUAGUGCAACCUAGAUUAAAAAUAGAGCACUGAAUCCGAGUCUGAAUAAUUGAUUCUUUUCUUUUUUUUUUUUUUUAGAAAAUACAAUCAUCACUCAGCCUCACACACUCAAAAAACAAAAGUAUAUUAACCCUAUCAUCAACCCACAUAUAUUGAGUCCAGUGUGACCUGCCCUCUUUUUUUCAAAUAACAAGGGCCAAUUCAGCUAAAAUUAGUUCUGGGCCAGACAAGACUAAUUGAGAUAAACAGUUGGAGAGAAAAGUCCAAGUCCACUACUGAGGGCAGCUGGAAUUCUUUAUUUAGGCUUUGUUUACAGGGACACUGUAAAUGCACUGUUUGCUGUUGAUAUUAAGGAGUUAAAACUUAAAUGGAACAAAGUAUGACAGGACUAUGCAUCAUCUCAUAGGAGAGGGUUUAGGUCAGAGCAUCCUAUGUAUGCAUGACCGUCCAUGUGAUUCAUGGUCAAGCCCACCCCUCUCCCCACUUCAAGCAUGCAAUGCGUAUUGAUGAUUUCCAAAAUGUUGGCUUUAAGCUUAUCUGAGAAUCACAGCUGAGGAACAUAGCAGUUUGGAGCUAAGCAAGAAUGAAGACAAGAAGGACGAAACACGAAACUCCAAUUUGAAAAAAGAAAUUUAAUGGUUGAGAUGCCACAUAUUACCAAAUUGCACUAGAACACUUGGACCUUUCUUUACAUACUGAUCAGUAUUUUGUGUAAGGAACUAUAUCUCUGUCUCAAACUGUGUUCUUCACAUGCUAGUGCACUAUUAAUACCUGGAUGAUGUGCUAGAAUUACAGAGAACGGAUGUAUUGAACACCAGAGACACUCAGAGCUCACAGUGUGCUAUAUGUACUGGAAUGAAUGUGGUCAUUAGUCUGAAAUUAGAGAAUGACACCUAACUGCUAGCUCUGUGUAUGGUAGCUCGACUGCAGGUAACUAAUGUUUCCUACAGCGUAAGGGUGCUUUCACACUUUCAGAAAAAAUAAUGCCAAGCCAUAACAUAAUCAUAACAAUGCUCUUUCUUUUUCUAGCUAGUAUCGGCUAACUAACUAUCCUGGGUUUGCUAUAUAGAUUAGAUUUAUUAUUAUCAGUAAUAAAGAUUAAAUAAAGAUUUUUUGAGGGUUGUUUUUGCUUCGCUGCAGCUUUGGAUGACUAAUUCUUCACCAGCUCUUUAUCCUCCAUGGUUUUUUCCUCGUUUGCCCCAACUUGCAACAUGACUGGAGGUAAAGCAAAAAAAAAUAAAUUUUUAAUUCUUGACGUCAGUUGGGAAUUUUCUGAAAAGUUGAACCUUGGAUGCUCUUUUGCGACCAAAAAAUGCAGACGGGAACGCUAUUCCCAUAAGGCUAAAUGUAAAAUGUGUGAGGGCAGAUGAGAAAAAAUGGCAAGUGGGAACGCACGUCAACACGCCCCUGCUAUGUAAAUGGGUCACUGGGGCAUCUGGAUUCUGAAGUGGGAAGAAAAAACCGAGAAGGUAAAAAGAGAGCUCAAGAGAAGAAACGAAAAGGAGAGAGGGAGAGAGAGAGAGAGAAAUAAAGAGAGAGAAAGAAAUGGGACGAAAGAGAGAGCAAAGGAAUUCGGGUGGGUGGAGGAAAGGACUGCAGAAUCUGUGAGUCUUUGAGGCUACUGAGACUUAGAGCAGAUGUGGACUGCCAAACCUUUCACAGUAUAGGUCCUAGUGUGCUGUUGCCUAUGGAAGCAACCAGGGUCGUGGGAAGCCUGGAGCCUUUCCCAGGGGAUUCGGGGCACAAGACAGGGGACACGCUGGACACCCAUCGCAGGACACAUUCACACACACAUUCACAUACUACGGACAAUUUAGAGAUGCAAAUCUGCCUACAGUGUAUAUCUUUGGACUGGGGGAGGAAACUGGAGUACCCGGAGGAAACCCUUGAAGCACAGGGAGAGCAUGCUCUGUGUACACAGGGUAGAGGAGGAAUUCGAACCCCCCAUCCCUGGAGGUGCGAAGCAAAUGUGCUAACCACUAAACCACCAAAUAAUAACUCAACAAUUCUAAUGAAACUCUUAUCAGUCUUUAAACUGAAUCACCAAACUGUAACACUAUUUAUGUGUUCAGGUAUUGUCAUUUAUCAAGAACAAAAAGAAGCAACAGCAACAAUAUUAUAUUCAGGAAGUACUUUUCUUUUCUUGUACAAUUUUGUUUUAUAACACUGAUUUGUUGUUCUGUUCUAUACAGUAUGUACACUUUGUUCAUCAUUAAAUAUAUAUAUAUAUAUAUCAAUUAAAUAGGGGGGGCAGUGGGAGCAGAAAGAGCUCUGUUCACUCGGAGAGAGAUGAAGAGUGUGAUGGGGAAAGAGAGAAGGAUGUAGAGAAUCAGGUUGCUUAAUAUAGACAAACAUUUUCAGUGUCUGUCACAGUCCCUAAAGCCUCAGUAAUGUAUACCAUGGGAUUAACACUCCUGUGUUUAUGAGCACACACACACACACACACACACACACAGACACACUAGUAAAAUCCAACAGUUCUCAUCAGUGUGUGACUGUGGACUCUCUGACCUUACUGUGAGAGUAAACAGCAGUCAUAAAGUAGCCAAACACGGCUAAAGCCAUGAACUAGUUUAUUAGACAUCCAUACAUCCGGAGCUGCUCCCCAAUAAAGACGUCAUGGAUAGUGAUGAACUCUCAGCUAGUGGGAGGAAACAAUAGAGAGAGAGAGAGAGAGAGAAAUGAAUUAUAGGUGUACUAUAUAACUCAGUGUACUAUAUAUAGUGCAAAAUAAUAUUCUUUUCAGAGUGUUUCACACACUUCACAUUCCAGGUGCACCGCAACAUGGCUGCAACAUCCUUCCCCACUUUUGUAUAUUGUACUGUGUUUAUUGUCUUCUUAUGUACUUUUUUUUCGUUAUGUAUGUUUUUAUUCUGUUUUGAUCAUUUGUUUUGACUUGGGUCCAUACGGCAUAAGGAAACCCCAGCAUGCUCAGCUCUUAGUCACUGACUUCAUGUCUCUUUAGUUAAUGUACAGUAUAAUUCAAAAGUUUGGACAUGCAUUGUAAUAGAGAGGGGUUUUUUUUUUCUCUCCCAUAUUUUCAGUAAUUUCUACCUUUUAAAAUAAUAGUGAAGACAUUCAUUGGAUCUGACUGGACGGAUCUGGAGUCUGUCCCGGGAACACUAGGUUACAGGGCACCAUGCAGACAUCAGAACUAUACAAUAACUUAUGUGGAAUUAUUCUGUGUAUGCCCCUCCCCCCUCCCCCCCCAAACGAUUAUUGAAUAAAUGAAAAC
Ictalurus furcatus (blue catfish) is the source of this 4890-nucleotide long non-coding RNA. RefSeq lists it as uncharacterized. The record is from RefSeq and is a predicted model, not a curated record. The transcript has 3 exons. Lineage: Eukaryota; Metazoa; Chordata; Actinopteri; Siluriformes; Ictaluridae.